GGCUGGUCCGAAGGCCGUGAGUCAUCUCACUUGAUUGUUCACAAUCAUUACAGAUUGAACUCCUUGUUCUGCUCUUCUCCCCCUUCUCACUACUGCACUUGACUAGUCUUAA
Molecule: unclassified non-coding RNA, 112 nt
Organism: Otolemur garnettii (small-eared galago)
Lineage: Eukaryota; Metazoa; Chordata; Mammalia; Primates; Galagidae
Rfam family: Y RNA
About the family: Y RNAs are components of the Ro ribonucleoprotein particle (Ro RNP), in association with Ro60 and La proteins. The Y RNAs and Ro60 and La proteins are well conserved, but the function of the Ro RNP is not known. In humans the RNA component can be one of four small RNAs -- hY1, hY3, hY4 and hY5.
Source: Ensembl